This is a long non-coding RNA of Solanum stenotomum, 310 nucleotides long. RefSeq lists it as uncharacterized. The transcript is spliced from 2 exons. The record is from RefSeq and is a predicted model, not a curated record. Lineage: Eukaryota; Viridiplantae; Streptophyta; Magnoliopsida; Solanales; Solanaceae.
GAAGCAAGAAUUAUGGAACUGAAGGAUACAGCAGCAAGUGGUGCCAAUGGGGCAUUGAGAAUAUUCAUCACACUCGGUAGGUGGCUUGACUGGAGAUGGAGGAGAUGGAGUGGGUUUAGGAGGAUUUGCGCCUGUCUUUACUGGAUAUGAAGGCUCUAUGGCUAAACCACACAAGCCACUAGACCUGGCAACGUUACGUUGGACUCUGAGGUAGCCAUUCUCUCCCCAUUUAGCUCCCCAUGAGUUCCUAACGAUCCAAUAAUCCAUGCCAUUCUCAGAACCAUAUCCAGCAGCAACUACACCAUGAUCC